Odocoileus virginianus texanus is the source of this 599-nucleotide non-coding RNA. The record is from RefSeq and is a predicted model, not a curated record. NCBI's taxonomy places the organism in Eukaryota, Metazoa, Chordata, Mammalia, Artiodactyla, Cervidae.
CUCCUGACAUAGGCUCCCAGGAUGACCUUGGCAACCUUGGGCUGCAGUUUCUGCAUCUGUGAGCCAGGAUAACACCACGCUGCAGGAUGCUGUGAUGAUGAGUGCAGUUGGCUGCGCCCCUCAUGUGUCAGACAUGACUAUGCAUAUCAGGCGUGACCAUGGAUGUCAGGCAAGACAACAUGUGUCAAGCAUGACCGUGUAUGUCAGGUGUGACCAUGUGUGUUGGGCACGACCACGCAUGUCAGGUGUGACCACAUGUAUCAGGCAUGAUCAUGUGUGUCAUGUAUGAACACAGGUGUCAGGCAGUGCUCAGCUGUCCCCAUCUCACAGGGAGCCCUUCCCCAGACCCCAGGCUUCCAGGGCCGGGGCAGGUGUCUUUCCUGCACCACGAGGCACAGGAGCAGCCCAUCCCUGGGAAACUGAAUUCUCUCCUGCUGGCGCCCGGGCACCGUGCGACCCAGGCUGGCUUGUGGGACGGAAGAAACCCGGUCCUGAGUGCAGAACAUCAGACUCCUUCCUGCCUCUGGUCCAUGCGUGUCAUACCAGCCGUUUGGUGUAGUCUGAGACACAUCAAAGCAAAAGAUAAGAGACGGCUAAGG